UGGGGAAUAUUGCACAAUGGGCGCAAGCCUGAUGCAGCGACGCCGCGUGAGGGAUGAAGGCCUUCGGGUUGUAAACCUCUUUCGUCAGGGAACAAGGCACUACGUUUUGGUGGUGUUGAGGGUACCUGGAUAAGAAGCGCCGGCUAACUACGUGCCAGCAGCCGCGGUAAUACGUAGGGCGCAAGCGUUGUCCGGAAUUAUUGGGCGUAAAGAGCUCGUAGGCGGCUGGUCGCGUCUGUCGUGAAAACUUCCGGCUCAACCGGGGGCUUGCGGUGGGUACGGGCCGGCUAGAGUGCGGUAGGGGUAACUGGAACUCCUGGUGUAGCGGUGGAAUGCGCAGAUAUCAGGAAGAACACCGAUGGCGAAGGCAGGUUACUGGGCCGUUACUGACGCUGAGGAGCGAAAGCGUGGGGAGCGAACAGGAUUAGAUACCCUGGUAGUCCACGCUGUAAACGUUGGGCACUAGGUGUGAGGCUCCUUUCCGGGGGUUUUGCGCCGUAGCUAACGCAUUAAGUGCCCCGCCUGGGGAGUACGGCCGCAAGGCU
This 545-nucleotide ribosomal RNA is filed under the name uncultured bacterium. RNAcentral's name for it is "bacterial SSU rRNA". It matches the Rfam family "Bacterial small subunit ribosomal RNA", at positions 355 to 895 of the family's 1533-position model. The record is from RNAcentral.